This 253-nucleotide ribosomal RNA is filed under the name uncultured bacterium. RNAcentral describes it as "partial 16S ribosomal RNA". It matches the Rfam family "Bacterial small subunit ribosomal RNA", at positions 524 to 776 of the family's 1533-position model. The record is from RNAcentral.
UACAGAGGUCCCAAGCGUUGUCCGGAAUCAUUGGGCGUAAAGAGCGUGUAGGCGGCUUGGCAAGUCUGACGUGAAAGCCCGCGGCUCAACCGCGGAUUGUCGUUGGAAACUGCCUCGCUAGAGUCCGGAAGAGGAGAGCGGAAUUCCUGGUGUAGCGGUGGAAUGCGCAGAUAUCAGGAAGAACACCCGUGGCGAAGGCGGCUCUCUGGGACGGUACUGACGCUGAGACGCGAAAGCGUGGGGAGCGAACAGG